Molecule: ribosomal RNA, 588 nt
Filed under: Triticum aestivum (bread wheat)
Lineage: Eukaryota; Viridiplantae; Streptophyta; Magnoliopsida; Poales; Poaceae
Description: partial small subunit ribosomal RNA
Source: RNAcentral
AUGUUUCACUCCAAGCAAUGUGUUUUCUUAGGCUAUAGUGCUCAACAUAAAGGUGUCAAGUGCCUAGAUAUUCCUACUGGACGAGUCUAUAUAUCUCGUGAUAUUGUUUUUGAUGAGACUAAAUUUCCCUUUGCUGAUCUCCACCCAAACGCCGGUGCCUUGCUUCGUAAAGAAAUUCUUCUUUUGCCUCAACAUCUUGUCGGUGACUGUGAGGAAAAUAACUGUACCGAGCACAUGUUGACUAAGAAUUCUCAUGCUUUUCUUGAGUUACGUGAUGAUGCAAAAAAAAUACUGAAGAAAAUGGUGGUCGCAACUAUGAAAAUGGUGGUCGCAGCUAUGGAAAUGGUGCAGAAACAACCCAAGCUUGGCGUUAUUUCAUGUAUAGGGAUCCAGGGAGCUUAUCUCCCUCGGGAUCACCUUCGAGUCAGGAGCAUCAGGACUAUAUGCAAUCUCCCUUGGGAUAGCUGUUGUCCUCCCCUGGGUACACUGCCAGCGAUGGCGACUCGCGGGCCAGCUAUCGAUGUGAAAACCAACAGAUCUCCGUGUAGGGGGUCCCGAGCUGUGGAUCUCGGAUAUAUGGUAACAUGA